Molecule: non-coding RNA, 210 nt
Filed under: Brevibacillus parabrevis
Lineage: Bacteria; Bacillati; Bacillota; Bacilli; Caryophanales; Paenibacillaceae
Source: RNAcentral
AUUUCAUAUGAAUCUGAUGGUGCUGGCCGGAAUCGUUUGGUUCCGCCAGCUUAAUAGGGAAGUCCGGUGAAAAUCCGGCGCGGUCCCGCCACUGUAAACGAGGAGUGCCUAGUGCAUAAAAACCACUGUUUUUCGCGAGACGAAAAAUGGGAAGGGAACUAGGCAUGGUGAUUCGUAAGCCAGGAGACCUGCCAUGAGAUCAUUUGCAAU